This is a transfer RNA of Loxodonta africana (African savanna elephant), 71 nucleotides long. It matches the Rfam family "tRNA". From Rfam's summary of the family: Transfer RNA (tRNA) molecules are approximately 80 nucleotides in length. Their secondary structure includes four short double-helical elements and three loops (D, anti-codon, and T loops). The record is from Rfam. Lineage: Eukaryota; Metazoa; Chordata; Mammalia; Proboscidea; Elephantidae.
GCAUUGGUGGUUCAGUGGUAGAAUUCUCGCCUUCCAUAUGGGAGACCCAGAUUUGAUUACUGGCCAAUGCA